AUACGGAGGGUGCAAGCGUUAUCCGGAAUCACUGGGCGUAAAGGGCGCGUAGGUGGUCUGUUAAGUCUGGCGUUAAAGCCUGGGGCUCAACCCCAGAUCAGCGUUGGAUACUGGCAGGCUAGACGGUUGGAGAGGCGAGUGGAAUUACCAGUGUAGCGGUGGAAUGCGUAGAUACUGGUAGGAACACCCAUUGCGAAGGCAGCUCGCUGGACAACACGUGACACUGAGGCGCGAAAGUGUGGGGAGCAAACCGGAUUAGAUACCCGGGUAGUCCACACCCUAAACGGUGCAUACUUGGUAUUGGCCCGUUGGGGUCAGUGCCGGAGCUAACGUGUUAAGUAUGCCGCCUGGGAAGUACGGCCGCAAGGUUGAA
This 373-nucleotide ribosomal RNA is filed under the name uncultured bacterium. RNAcentral's name for it is "bacterial SSU rRNA". It matches the Rfam family "Bacterial small subunit ribosomal RNA", at positions 523 to 898 of the family's 1533-position model. The record is from RNAcentral.